RNAcentral lists this ribosomal RNA (433 nucleotides) under uncultured bacterium. RNAcentral's name for it is "bacterial SSU rRNA". It matches the Rfam family "Bacterial small subunit ribosomal RNA", at positions 28 to 478 of the family's 1533-position model. The record is from RNAcentral.
GACGAACGCUGGCGGCGUGCUUAACACAUGCAAGUCGAGCGGUAAGGCCUUUCGGGGUACACGAGCGGCGAACGGGUGAGUAACACGUGGGUGAUCUGCCCUGCACUUCGGGAUAAGCCUGGGAAACUGGGUCUAAUACCGGAUAUGACCUCCUAUCGCAUGGUGGGUGGUGGAAAAAUUUAUCGGUGCAGGAUGGGCCCGCGGCCUAUCAGCUUGUUGGUGGGGUAAUGGCCUACCAAGGCGACGACGGGUAGCCGACCUGAGAGGGUGACCGGCCACACUGGGACUGAGACACGGCCCAGACUCCUACGGGAGGCAGCAGUGGGGAAUAUUGCACAAUGGGCGAAAGCCUGAUGCAGCGACGCCGCGUGAGGGAUGACGGCCUUCGGGUUGUAAACCUCUUUCAGCAGGGACGAAGCGCAAGUGACGGUAC